RNAcentral lists this ribosomal RNA (496 nucleotides) under uncultured bacterium. RNAcentral describes it as "partial 16S ribosomal RNA". It matches the Rfam family "Bacterial small subunit ribosomal RNA", at positions 28 to 506 of the family's 1533-position model. The record is from RNAcentral.
GAUGAACGCUGGCGGCGUGCCUAAUACAUGCAAGUCGAGCGAACAGACGAGGAGCUUGCUCCUCUGACGUUAGCGGCGGACGGGUGAGUAACACGUGGAUAACCUACCUAUAAGACUGGGAUAACUUCGGGAAACCGGAGCUAAUACCGGAUAAUAUAUUGAACCGCAUGGUUCAAUAGUGAAAGACGGUUUUGCUGUCACUUAUAGAUGGAUCCGCGCCGCAUUAGCUAGUUGGUAAGGUAACGGCUUACCAAGGCAACGAUGCGUAGCCGACCUGAGAGGGUGAUCGGCCACACUGGAACUGAGACACGGUCCAGACUCCUACGGGAGGCAGCAGUAGGGAAUCUUCCGCAAUGGGCGAAAGCCUGACGGAGCAACGCCGCGUGAGUGAUGAAGGUCUGCGGAUCGUAAAACUCUGUUAUUAGGGAAGAACAAAUGUGUAAGUAACUAUGCACGUCUUGACGGUACCUAAUCAGAAGGCCACGGCUAACUACGU